Molecule: long non-coding RNA, 1594 nt
Organism: Strigops habroptila (Kakapo)
Lineage: Eukaryota; Metazoa; Chordata; Aves; Psittaciformes; Psittacidae
Exons: 3
Source: RefSeq, a predicted model, not a curated record
CCAGGGCUCCCCAGCAACACAGAGCUGUCUGACCCUCUGUCGUGGACAGCCUGGUGGCAUUGUUGAAUAUCCAAAAGGUACAAGAUGCUGAAAGCUUUGAUAUUUGAAACCUGAUUGAAGGAUCCCCAUCCAUCUCCAGGACACCUCAUGUGGAAAUCCUGGAGAAGAGGUUUCUUGCUUUGAACCAGGAGUCUGUGAAUCUGGCUACUUACAAAUGGUGCAUUUCGAGUUUCUAUUGAUUUGGGUAGCUUGGGAUGGGUGUUGAUGAGAGCCACUUUCAAUUGGGCAUCAUCUGAGUCAGACAAACUACAUUAUGAAUCAGUGUUGCACUUGUUCCAAAGUAGCUGAUAAGCACAUUAAGUGUGGUAGGAAAGAAAGGAGUGUGGAGAGAGCUGAGGUUUGGGUACAUGGUGAUGUUGUGAGUCAACAUGGGCUUUUCUUGGUGUUGCCACAAACACAGGAGCUAGAGGCGGGCAUGAUGGGGCAAGCCUAAACCAGGGGAUAACUGGUUUAUGAAAAAACUUGUGUUGAAAAACACCAAUAAAGUGACCAAACAAAGAUGCUUCAAAAUUACCUUGAGGGGAACACAAAUUCAGUCAGAACCAGGAGAUCCCCCUGGCUGCUGUUGCACAGGUCUGGGAAGGUCAUGGGGAGUGUCACCACGUGUGACUCAGCUGAAAGCACAGGACAAAGCCAUUCCUCAGCAUGCAGGAGCAUAAAAACCCCUUAAAACCAAAUGUGGUCUCUUUAGUAAGAACAUUGCUUAGUUUUUAAAGUAGAGCAGCCUGCAGGAACUGGAAAGCCCAGAGAGCUGUGUCCUGGGAUCUUUGCAGCAAGGGAAUAAAGGGAAGGGCCGUUUCUGGUGAAAGGGAGACAGGGGUCUUUGGGAUUACAAUUCUGGAGCCACUGGAUCGCACCAUUCCUGCUCAGUGAUCUCAUUGCUAUGCUGCUUGUGAGUGUAAACAGGCUGCUACAAUGGGUGCUGAUGCAAAAGCCCACAAUGGCACCUGGGUGCAGAUGCUGGGCUCCUUGGCGUGAGGCUCAGUGUGCCCUGAGCACCUCAGCAACGAAAGGUACACAAGGAAUUCAGAUAGGUGGCCAUGCUGUGGGAUUUGCCUGCACCAGCCCAGCCUUACCCUGCUGCAGGUUUGCUUUCAGCUCUCCUGGUCCCUCUGCCCUGAGUGGUGAGCUCUGUGUUUCAGGUAACUGACCUUGCUGAGCCUGGAGCAGAGCUCCCAGCUGGCCAUGCGUGUGAUCUGAAGAUGUCCUGGCUGCCCACCAGAGGAGCUGCCACCUAUUCCUUGUGGUUUCCCACUGGAGACAACUGGGAUGCAGCUUUGAGAAGCCGGAGGCACACCCUGCUUUGCUCAGUGAAAAGCAGCCCUCUGUCAUCACAGCCCUGCACACUGAGUAUCUCUUGAGUAGCGGCUUGAAGGUGAUUCCUUGCAUCUGGGGGAGCUCUGAAGACCGCUGCAGAAAUGCUGCCUUCACUCCCAGGGCUGGGAGUUCUCCUUUUGCUUGGUGAGUAUUACAGCGACGGGUGUUCCAGGAGGAUUUUCCAUACGAGCAGCUGUAGUUGAGAGGAUAUUUGAAA